UGCUUGUAUGACAUGGAUUGCGUGUGUAGACCAUUUAUAAAAUAUCUUUGUCGCUUCCCUCGUGCAUGUACAUGCCCAGAGUUAAAAGAAUAUGUAACACCUGAGGGUGGGAUAAAAAAGUGAAAUAUGUUCACAUGCUAUGAUGUUUAGAUGCAACCUAGAAGAGUGGAUGAGAGAAGAGGAAAGCUGUGGGCAAGGGCUAUCCCAGUCUGUUAGGUGUGAUGCUGUGUGAUGAAUGGCUCUUGAUGCUCAACGUGCUGGAAGCCUCGGCAGCUCCAUCUGACAGUCACAGCCACAAACAACAGCAGCACACACUUCUUGUUUAAAGGAUGAGAGAAUACUUUUUGCUGCUGUUUCAGCUUUGGGUGGGAUGGAGCCCUGCUUUCCUGGACGUGGCUAAACACCUGCCUGCAGAUGGGAAGGAGUGGAUGAAGUCCUUCAUUUGCUUUGCUUAGGAUACUGAAGAUUUGCUAGGAUGGCACAUCAGACUGAAUGGACUUCUGGUCAAAGAGCACAUGUGCAUUAGUAAAGCUGUCAAUCAAUUCUAAGCCUAUUGGUAGGCCCAAGUGUAAGACCUUCUAUAGGACAAUGUAGGAAAUAGUAUGUGGAAAUCACUAUGGAUGGAACAAGAUAAAAAUGAUGACAGUAAUUUCGCACAAAUGAGAAAAAAUAAAGGCCACUUAUGCCAGAAUAAUUUAUUAUGUUAGGAAGUUAGGUAACUGGGACACUUUAUGGACACAGAUCAGAAGAGUUAAGUCUGUUCAAAAGGCAUCUGAUCAACAUUUUAUAAUGUACUUCAAUUAAGAUAAAAGAGUACUCUGAUAUGUUACCACCUUAAAUAAGGUAUUUAUUGAUAUGUGUAUGCCAAUAAUAAAAAUAAAAGACCACCAUGGA
Long non-coding RNA from Corvus hawaiiensis (hawaiian crow), 894 nucleotides. RefSeq lists it as uncharacterized. The record is from RefSeq and is a predicted model, not a curated record. The transcript has 4 exons. NCBI's taxonomy places the organism in Eukaryota, Metazoa, Chordata, Aves, Passeriformes, Corvidae.